AAGCAACACUCUGUGGCAGAUGAUUGAAACUGUCUGACACAAUUUGAGCUUGCUAUAGCAAGAAAGUCUGACCUAUUCCAGUGUUCUCUUCUCCAUGAGACGAGCUGUUAUAUAGACUUAAACAGU
Molecule: small nucleolar RNA, 126 nt
Organism: Diceros bicornis minor
Lineage: Eukaryota; Metazoa; Chordata; Mammalia; Perissodactyla; Rhinocerotidae
Product: small nucleolar RNA SNORA28
Exons: 1
Source: RefSeq, a predicted model, not a curated record